This 627-nucleotide ribosomal RNA is filed under the name uncultured soil bacterium. Its description in RNAcentral is "bacterial SSU rRNA". It matches the Rfam family "Bacterial small subunit ribosomal RNA", at positions 36 to 707 of the family's 1533-position model. The record is from RNAcentral.
CUGGCGGCAGGCUUAACACAUGCAAGUCGAGCGGGCGUAGCAAUACGUCAGCGGCAGWCGGGUGAGUAACGCGUGGGAACAUACCUUUUGGUUCGGAACAACACAGGGAAACUUGUGCUAAUACCGGAUAAGCCCUUACGGGGAAAGAUUUAUCGCCGAAAGAUUGGCCCGCGUCUGAUUAGCUAGUUGGUGAGGUAAUGGCUCACCAAGGCGACGAUCAGUAGCUGGUCUGAGAGGAUGAUCAGCCACAUUGGGACUGAGACACGGCCCAAACUCCUACGGGAGGCAGCAGUGGGGAAUAUUGGACAAUGGGCGCAAGCCUGAUCCAGCCAUGCCGCGUGAGUGAUGAAGGCCCUAGGGUUGUAAAGCUCUUUUGUGCGGGAAGAUAAUGACGGUACCGCAAGAAUAAGCCCCGGCUAACUUCGUGCCAGCAGCCGCGGUAAUACGAAGGGGGCUAGCGUUGCUCGGAAUCACUGGGCGUAAAGGGUGCGUAGGCGGGUCUUUAAGUCAGGGGUGAAAUCCUGGAGCUCAACUCCAGAACUGCCUUUGAUACUGAAGAUCUUGAGUUCGGGAGAGGUGAGUGGAACUGCGAGUGUAGAGGUGAAAUUCGUAGAUAUUCGCAAGAAC